AGGAUUAACGCUGGCGGCGUGCCUAACACAUGCAAGUCGAACGAGGUAGCAAUACCUAGUGGCAGACGGGUGAGUAACGCGUGGUCAACCUACCGUUGAGUGGGGGAUAACUAGCCGAAAGGUUAGCUAAUACCGCAUACGAGUCUGAGGGGCAUCCCUUAGCCUUAAAAGGAGCAAUCCGCUCGAUGACGGGACCGCGUCCCAUUAGCUAGAUGGUGGGUAACGCCUACCAUGGCACCGAUGGGUAGCUGGUUUGAGAGAGCGACCAGCCACACUGGGACUGAGAAACGGCCCAGACUCCUACGGGAGGCAGCAGUGAGGAUUUUCCGCAAUGGGCGAAAGCCUGACGGAGCGACGCCGCGUGUGGGAAGAAGGCCUUCGGGUCGUAAACCACUGUCGAAGGGGACGAUAAUGACGGUACCCUUAGAGGAAGCCCGGCUAACUACGCGCCAGCAGCCGC
This 460-nucleotide ribosomal RNA is filed under the name uncultured bacterium. RNAcentral describes it as "SSU rRNA". It matches the Rfam family "Bacterial small subunit ribosomal RNA", at positions 26 to 518 of the family's 1533-position model. The record is from RNAcentral.